Molecule: ribosomal RNA, 392 nt
Filed under: Mogibacterium diversum
Lineage: Bacteria; Bacillati; Bacillota; Clostridia; Peptostreptococcales; Anaerovoracaceae
Description: partial 23S ribosomal RNA
Rfam family: Bacterial large subunit ribosomal RNA
Source: RNAcentral
AUAAGGUUAAGUUAAUAAGGGCGCACGGUGGAUGCCUUGGCACUAGGAGCCGAAGAAGGACGUGACAAACGACGAUAUGCCUUGGGUAGCUGUAAGUAAGCGAUGAUCCAGGGAUUUCCGAAUGGGGGAACCCAACAGGUACUACCUGUUACCCAUAUCUGUUAAGGAUAUGAGGAGGAAGACGCAGUGAACUGAAACAUCUAAGUAGCUGCAGGAAGAGAAAGCAAAAGCGAUUGCCUUAGUAGCGGCGAGCGAAACGGCAGGAGGGCAAACCGAAGAGUUUACUCUUCGGGGUUGUAGGACUGCAAUGUGGACUCAAAGAUUAUAGAAGAAUGAUAUGGGAAGAUCAGCCAAAGAGAGUAAUAGCCUCGUAUUUAAAAUAGUCUUUGUAC